GUUGCAUCGAGGGCCGGAUCCGGCCCGCGGGCCGUAGUUUGGCGACCCCUGGUUUAGAGCAUACUUUGAUGUUAACUCAUUGUAACAAUGAACCUACUAAAAGUAAAGAACUAGUAGGUAUAAUCAAUACAGCUUUAGAAUAUGGAUAUACUAAAUGUUUUACAAUCAAUAUAUUUGAAGCUAUGUUAAAAUGUAAAAAUUGCAUACAACAAAUCAAUGACAUACAAACAACAGAAAACCAUAGAGAAGAGAAUACACACAUUAUUUUUAUUCCAUACCACAUGGUAAGGUCCAACACACUUAAGAAAUUGGCCAACACAGGCAACAACAUAAGAUUAGUGACAAAAAGGGAGCCUACCGUCUUCUAACUCCUAUGUAAUGAUAAAGAUAAAUGGAAACAACACCAAAAAAUGAGAGUAUAUAAAAU
This 427-nucleotide long non-coding RNA is filed under the name Androctonus crassicauda. The record is from RNAcentral. Lineage: Eukaryota; Metazoa; Arthropoda; Arachnida; Scorpiones; Buthidae.